This 314-nucleotide ribosomal RNA is filed under the name Limnonectes ingeri (greater swamp frog). RNAcentral's name for it is "partial 12S ribosomal RNA". It matches the Rfam family "Bacterial small subunit ribosomal RNA", at positions 859 to 1346 of the family's 1533-position model. The record is from RNAcentral. Lineage: Eukaryota; Metazoa; Chordata; Amphibia; Anura; Dicroglossidae.
CACAACCACAACGCCAGGGUAUUACGAGCGAAGCUUAAAACCCAAAGGACUUGACGGUGUCCUAUCCAACUAGAGGAGCCUGUUUUAUAAUCGAUGAUCCCCGAUUAACCUAACCCUGUCUUGCCACUCAGUUUGUAUACCUCCGUCGCAAACUUACCAUAUGAAUGCUUACAGUAAGUUCAAUGGUCUUCCACCAAUACGUCAGGUCAAGGUGCAGCUUAUGAUAGGGUAAAUUAUGGGCUACAAUUUCUAAUAUAGAACAUACGGAAUGUUGCAUGAAACACAGCAUGAAGGCGGAUUUAGUAGUAAAAAGA